RNAcentral lists this transfer RNA (56 nucleotides) under Myotis lucifugus (little brown bat). It matches the Rfam family "tRNA", at positions 10 to 63 of the family's 71-position model. Rfam says of the family: Transfer RNA (tRNA) molecules are approximately 80 nucleotides in length. Their secondary structure includes four short double-helical elements and three loops (D, anti-codon, and T loops). The record is from Rfam by way of RNAcentral. Lineage: Eukaryota; Metazoa; Chordata; Mammalia; Chiroptera; Vespertilionidae.
GCUCAGUUGGUAGAGCAUGAGACUCUUAAUCUCAGGGUCGUGGGUUCGUGCCCCAC